UACGUAGGGUGCAAGCGUUAAUCGGAAUUACUGGGCGUAAAGCGUGCGCAGGCGGUUAUGCAAGACAGAGGUGAAAUCCCCGGGCUUAACCUGGGAAUGGCAUUGGUGACUGCACGGCUAGAGUGUGUCAGAGGGGGGUAGAAUUCCACGUGUAGCAGUGAAAUGCGUAGAGAUGUGGAGGAACACCAAUGGCGAAGGCAAUCCCCUGGGCCUGUACUGACGCUCAUGCACGAAAGCGUGGGGAGCAAACAGG
Molecule: ribosomal RNA, 253 nt
Filed under: uncultured bacterium
Lineage: Bacteria
Description: partial 16S ribosomal RNA
Rfam family: Bacterial small subunit ribosomal RNA
Source: RNAcentral